This is a long non-coding RNA of Pseudophryne corroboree (corroboree frog), 817 nucleotides long. RefSeq lists it as uncharacterized. The record is from RefSeq and is a predicted model, not a curated record. The transcript has 3 exons. NCBI's taxonomy places the organism in Eukaryota, Metazoa, Chordata, Amphibia, Anura, Myobatrachidae.
UCAGGUGACCUGUCCAGGACGUAACCAGGAAGUUCAGACUUCAGACAGCUCACUUCAGAGACAGAGCACUGCUGCUGCGGUGAUGCUCCUAAGCCUCCUGUGCCCUGGCUAGCAUUGGUGCGGCUAAGCCCGGCGGGUUACUAUGACAACGGCGCUGGAGAGUGCACAUCGCUUGACGGUGACAUCAUCAGUCCCCGUCCGGGACCCACUCAUGCUGCGUGGACAAGUCUGUGUGUGGUGUUGUUAUAUAAGACCACCCACCUGGGGCACCCCUGCAACUCCUCUGAGGCACUCCAGGGUACCAAGGCACCCAGUUUGGGAACCACUGUACUAAAGUUUAUAAUGAAGAGAGGAACUGAACAUAAUUGGACUUUACCUAAUGCAGUCGUUUCUCAGGUCUUGGUAUUUCAUUUGUAUGCUGAAACUGUUUAACAUGACCUUUUCUUAAAACCAAGGAACAUUUAAAAACAGAUAUCAAAAUGUAAAGCGUUACGUUAGGACUUCAUAGGGUUAGGGUUCUCAGAUGUGUCUAAAACAUUCAACAUCAGGAAUCAGUACUGUGCUAGUUAUAUCAUUAUGCAGAAUUGCAUUUAGUAUCUGUUCCAGUUUGGAAAUAUUUUUAAAAAGUAUAUACAGUAUGUCUCUUGAAUACAAAUAAAUAUCUAAAACACUAGCACACCAGACUAUAUAUGAUCUAGGAAUAAAGUAAUUCAGCAAAAAGCCAAAAACCAAUUAGGUAUUCGUACAUCCAAAUUUUUGCCUGAUUUAUCAAGCCUUAGAGAGUGAUAAAUUGCACGGUGAUAAAGUACCAGCCAAU